RNAcentral lists this ribosomal RNA (1000 nucleotides) under uncultured bacterium. RNAcentral describes it as "bacterial SSU rRNA". It matches the Rfam family "Bacterial small subunit ribosomal RNA", at positions 45 to 1059 of the family's 1533-position model. The record is from RNAcentral.
UGCUUACACAUGCAAGUCUACUCGAAAGCUCUUCGGAGUGAUUAGGGUGGCGGACGGGUGAGUAACGCGUAAAGAACUUGCCCUUCAGACUGGGACAACUGUUGGAAACGACAGCUAAUACCGGAUAUUAUGAGACUAAGGCAUCUUAGACUUAUGAAAGCUAUAUGCGCUGAAGGAGAGCUUUGCGUCCUAUUAGCUAGUUGGUGAGGUAAUGGCUCACCAAGGCGACGAUAGGUAGCCGGCCUGAGAGGGUGAACGGCCACAAGGGGACUGAGACACGGCCCUUACUCCUACGGGAGGCAGCAGUGGGGAAUAUUGGACAAUGGACCAAAAGUCUGAUCCAGCAAUUCUGUGUGUUUGAUGAAGGCCUUCGGGUUGUAAAGAACUUUCAGUGGGGAAGAAGCAAGUGACGGUACCCACAAAAGAAGCGACGGCUAAAUACGUGCCAGCAGCCGCGGUAAUACGUAUGUCGCAAGCGUUAUCCGGAAUUAUUGGGCAUAAAGGGCGUCUAGGCGGUCUAAUAAGUCUGAUGUGAAAAUGCGGGGCUCAACUCCGUAUUGCGUUGGAAACUGUUAGACUAGAGUUUUGGAGAGGUAGGCGGAACUACAAGUGUAGAGGUGAAAUUCGUAGAGAUUUGUAGGAAUGCCGAUGACGAAGGUAGCUUACUGGACAAAUACUGACGCUGAAGCGCGAAAGCUAGGGGAGCAAACAGGAUUAGAUACCCUGGUAGUCCUAGCUGUAAACGACGAUCACUGGGGUGUGGGGGGUCGAACCUCUGUGCCGAAGUUAAUGCGAUAAGUGAUCCGCCUGGGGAGUACGGCCGCCAAGGCUGAAACUCAAAGGAAUUGACGGGACCCGCACAGGUGGGUGGAGCAUGUGGUUUANUCGACGCAACGCGAGAAACUUUACCAGUUCUUGACNUCCUCUAAACUUUCUGGAGACNGAUUGGUGCCCCUUCNGNGGAAUANAGNGACAGGUNGAUGCCUGGGCUGUCGNCANC